GACGAACGCUGGCGGCGUGCUUAACACAUGCAAGUCGAACGGAAAGGCCCUGCUUUUGUGGGUUGCUCGAGUGGCGAACGGGUGAGUAACACGUGAGUACCCUGCCCUUAACUUUGGGAUAACUUCAGGAAACUGGGGCUAAUACCGGAUAGGAGCUCCUGAUGCAUGGUGGGGGUUGGAAAGUUUCGGCGGUUGGGGAUGGACUCGCGGCUUCUCAGCUGGUUGGUGGGGUAGUGGCUGACCAAGGCUUUGACGGGUAGCCGGCCUGAGAGGGUGAACGGCCACAUUGGGACUGAGAUACGGCCCAGACUCCUACGGGAGGCAGCAGUGGGGAAUAUUGCACAAUGGGCGGAAGCCUGAUGCAGCAACGCCGCGUGCGGGAUGACGGCCUUCGGGUUGUAAACCGCUUUCGCCUGUGACGAAGCGUGAGUGACGGUAAUGGGUAAAGAAGCACCGGCUAACUACGUG
Molecule: ribosomal RNA, 468 nt
Filed under: uncultured bacterium
Lineage: Bacteria
Description: partial 16S ribosomal RNA
Rfam family: Bacterial small subunit ribosomal RNA
Source: RNAcentral